This is a small nucleolar RNA of Lolium rigidum, 147 nucleotides long. RefSeq annotates it as small nucleolar RNA snoR2/U65. The record is from RefSeq and is a predicted model, not a curated record. Lineage: Eukaryota; Viridiplantae; Streptophyta; Magnoliopsida; Poales; Poaceae. The transcript has a single exon.
GGCCUGAUACCACGUCUCUGGUAACUGCGAGCACUGACUGAAGAUUUUGAUUGGGCCCAAAUAGAGAUGUAUUUCGUUUCACAUGUUGAUAGGAACCUGUGACUGCAGUUCAAUCGGUUAGCAGAGCCGGAAAUGGUGACUACAUGC